GGGCGUAAAGCGCACGCAGGCGGUUUGUUAAGUCAGAUGUGAAAUCCCCGGGCUCAACCUGGGAACUGCAUCUGAUACUGGCAAGCUUGAGUCUCAUAGAGGGGGGUAGAAUUCCAGGUGUAGCGGUGAAAUGCGUAGAGAUCUGGAGGAAUACCGGUGGCGAAGGCGGCCCCCUGGACGAAGACUGACGCUCAGGUGCGAAAGCGUGGGGAGCAAACAGGAUUAGAUACCCAUGGUAGUCCACGCCGUAAACGAUGUCGACUUGGAGGUUGUGCCCUUGAGGCGUGGCUUCCGGAGCUAACGCGUUAAGUCGACCGCCUGGGGAGUACGGCCGCAAGGUUAAAACUCAAAUGAAUUGACGGGGGCCCGCACAAGCGGUGGAGCAUGUGGUUUAAUUCGAUGCAACGCGAAGAACCUUACCUGGUCUUGACAUCCACGGAAGUUUUCAGAGUUGAGAAUGUGCCUUCGGGAACCGUGAGACAGGUGCUGCAUGGCUGUCGUCAGCUCGUGUUGUGAAAUGUUGGGUUAAGUCCCGCAACGAGCGCAACCCUUAUCCUUUGUUGCCAGCGGUCCGGCCGGGAACUCAAAGGAGACUGCCAGUGAUAAACUGGAGGAAGGUGGGGAUGACGUCAAGUCAUCAUGGCCCUUACGACCAGGGCUACACACGUGCUACAAUGGCGCAUACAAAGAGAAGCGACCUCGCGAGAGCAAGCGGACCUCAUAAAGUGCGUCGUAGUCCGGAUUGGAGUCUGCAACUCGACUCCAUGAAGUCGGA
This 775-nucleotide ribosomal RNA is filed under the name uncultured Escherichia sp. RNAcentral's name for it is "bacterial SSU rRNA". It matches the Rfam family "Bacterial small subunit ribosomal RNA", at positions 556 to 1330 of the family's 1533-position model. Lineage: Bacteria; Pseudomonadati; Pseudomonadota; Gammaproteobacteria; Enterobacterales; Enterobacteriaceae. The record is from RNAcentral.